Stereum hirsutum FP-91666 SS1 is the source of this 94-nucleotide transfer RNA. It matches the Rfam family "tRNA". Rfam says of the family: Transfer RNA (tRNA) molecules are approximately 80 nucleotides in length. The record is from Rfam. NCBI's taxonomy places the organism in Eukaryota, Fungi, Basidiomycota, Agaricomycetes, Russulales, Stereaceae.
GGACCUUUAGCUCAAUCGGUAGAGCUUUGUACUUAUGUGGUUUCCCUAACCUGUCUGAAUGCAAGGGUCCCGAGUUCGAUUCUCGGAAGGUCCA